RNAcentral lists this long non-coding RNA (9876 nucleotides) under Eucalyptus grandis. RNAcentral's name for it is "long non-coding RNA (EGRA_LNC005953)". The record is from RNAcentral. Lineage: Eukaryota; Viridiplantae; Streptophyta; Magnoliopsida; Myrtales; Myrtaceae.
GAGAUCAAAAUUUAGGACGACUGCAAAUUGAAUAGAAUUUAAGCCCAAGUUAGACAGUCUAUUUAGUCAAUAUCAUGAAACUAAGGUGGGAUCUUCAGUCUUUUGACGCUUAGCUUCACCUUGAGCCUCUUCAUCAUCAUCGUCAUCAUCAUGCUUGAUAGAUCCAUUUACCGCCUCCGGACCCAAGAUAGAAAUGUGCUCGCUGGUGAUUUGACGACCUGCUCUCAGCUUUGGACCCCAAUGCCUUUCAGGGUUUGGAAGGAAGCGCGCAACCUUCUUGGCUUGUGCCUUGUUCAGAGAUCCGACAGCUCGAGCAAAAUUUGCCUGCUCCAAACAAAACUGUUAGCUAAAAGAACCACUACAGACAAUUAAUACCUCUUAUGAGUGAGUGGCGCGUUUGCCAAGAUCGUGCACCCGCAUGGAUCAUAUAAUAUUUUCAUAGCAUAGCAUAAGUGAGGGAAUCGUAUAAGGUAUCAUAUAUGUAAAAGAAAAACAAACAGAAGAAGAAAAGGAACAGCUGUAAGAGGAGAAACGCACUUGGAAAGCUGGUUCCUUGGCCAGUAUCACACAUCCAGGCUGAUCUGAAGGUUGUUCUUUGACGGGAUGACUUUUCACCUACAUAGGAAACACAACAAAAAUGCUAUGAACUUGUUUUUUUAUGACAAUGGAAUGUGACAGAACAUCUGCAAAUACCACAAACAUCCAUGGGGCAUCUAUCAUCUUCCAGUUUGUAGCUCAAGAAGAAUCAGGAGAGUCCUUACCCAGCAUCGCAUGAUGUACCAAAUAACGUCCAAGGGGCAUCUGUCUUCAACCCCAGUGGAUUCACAUGAGUUCCAGAGAUUCUAUAUCCGGCAUUAAUAACAGCAGAACGGAAGAUAACUGCCGAUGGUGAGGUGCAUUUUAGGGUGGCACAGAGAUUGUGCAAACUUAAGAACAAAGGAAUAUCGGGCAGUUCCUGCAAACACCAUAUCCUCCAAGAGUUAACACAUUGAUCGAGCCAAAAAAGCAAAGUAUAAUUGUAAUGAGCAAGCAAAGCACGCUGGUCAAAGCUUUUAUCUGUCUGCGCAAAUAUAACUGAGUAAAAAUAUGUCAUCAAAAUAAUGAGGAAGCAAUACCUAGCAUUCAAAGGACAGCCUCCAUGAAACAAUGUUCAAAAGAAGACUCAGUAGUAUAUUGAGACAUAUAAAGACCAAAUACGUCAUUUGGACAUAUAUUGAACCCGUGCAAUUUCAUUCACUUUGGUCAUUAAACUGUAUCUUUGCUAGAGCCCACAAAAACUUAAUUGCCAAUCUACAGUUGAAGAGAGAUGAGGCCAUGCUACUUCUGUAAAAGCUAUUGUUUUACAAUUGCAGCUCUUGGUUCAAGUUCAUGCAACUCUCAAGUUAUUUUGAUGAAGAAGAAAAAAGAGGAAAAGUUCACCUCUGAGAUUGUUGUCAGUACAGCGGAGAUACGAUCAUAAGCAGGAUAUCGAUCCUUCAUGGAUUUCAAAUCUGCAAGUAUUGAAGUCACCCAUUCGUGAUCAUGGAUGGGCGCCGACCAUAUAGGACCUCCCAUAUUAAAUUUCUUCCCACAGUCGGUGCAUUCUUGAGGAACAACAGGACCAAACCCAGGUAAAUACCUCAUGCUGUUAUUCUAGAGGGCAAAAUUGUUUAAUCAACACAUUGACUAGAAUGACUGAAAAUAAGAAACUGAAGAUGCUCCCUUGACAUGGUUGAAUAUGUAAAAAUAGCAAAAAUGAAUUAUAACAAAGGAUUUUUAUUUAUAAACACAAAGAUAAUCCUGCGUCACACAGCCAAGUGGCCACAAAAAUUAAGUAAAAGCACAAACAGAAAUUUGAGGAUACAACUUCUUGAUAGAACUGCUUCAAAGUGUCUUGGACACUAUUGACACUACAGUUACAAACUUAUUUUGAUCUCAACCUCGGAUUAGACAUGUGAAUCCUUGUUCCAGCCAUUCAACAUCAUGGGCCCAUCAAAUGAAAACUUAUGAGAACUAAUAACAUAAGGUGGACCAAGUCCUGUGCUUUCUCUCAGGCCAAACUAGGAACACACACACGGUAUUGGGAUGGUCUUGUGCUUAUAAGCCCGUGAACUUGAUCCCAUGACUAGCCAAAAGAAAAAUAAGCAUCGAAAUGCAUUGCAUAAACAAAAAAACAACUGAACCAUGACCUGAACAGUAAUCAUAGGUCAAGCUUGAUCAACUCCAGCAUGCCACAACUCUUAUGCAUUUUUCAGAGCAUAACAUUGGUAACCAACAAUUAGUUUUUUAUCAUUUACCUCAGGUCAAGCAAGUUGUAACAUUCCCAAGCAACUAGCGACGUGGCAAAGUGCUCUAAAACAGGAUACAAACCUUGGAAACUGUUCUUCCUAUCUGCUGAAGAUGAAAAGAAUCACAACCCGUGCAUUGAUAAACAUAUGACAGCUUAAGGGGAGUAUUCUUCAUUGCGCUUGCAGACCUGCAUCAAUAACGUGACCAACAAUGUUGUCAUGCAAUGAUGACAUGGCAUAUUAAUGAUAUGGCAUACAAUGACAACAUGGCAUAUUACAGACAUGGAUGCAGACUCUUGGAACAAGUCAGUCAACUAUUCUUCGGCUUUCUCGGGCCCAUGGUAACAACUAAAGAGAAACAUUUAUCCCCUUUGCAACUAUGAUUAGAAAAAGACAUAAAACACAUCUCUUUCACCAAAUAAUUUUUACAAUUAUUUCAAAAUGCAAUGAUCAACAAGCUCUAGGAUUUGCUCAAACACCUAAUCGAUUCGGAGACUGGAAGCCUUCAGCUAUUUAGCCUUUGGAUCAACGAGGACACCUUGACAUUCCUUUGCUAUUACAAACUAGGGUUGACUAUCAUAAUAUUAGGGUUUUUAAUAUAGGCAUUUCAUGUUUUUUCCUACUACAUUCCACCUAUAAACUAUAUACAGAAAAAGCAAACAAAUAAAUGAUAAUUCUACCAAUUAUAAGCUAUCUUUGCAUGCUCAUCGUUUGCUAAGUCAGCUUCUAGAGUCUUAGCUCAAGUAUUCUGGUAGUGGAUUUACCCAACUUAUAAAUUUUAAUAAACAAUUAUGUAAAAGAAACUGCCUUAAGCGUAUCCCUUCAUACAAAGGUGCAGAGAACUUCCAUUAACAGAACACUUCUCUUUGAUAUUAAAUUUUCCUUUCUAUCUUAUGAUUUGGAAAUUUGGCAUAUAAUCAUAACUUUGAGGUCAACUAUUAUCUUCUUUCAUUCGAAAAAGCAUAUCACGCUUCCCGACUAUCACGCCCCGAACCUCCGAGCGCGUGCCCAUGCCUCUCUGGUCAAUAAAAUUUUGCGACUUCUCAGGACGAGUCGCUGACCCUUUCGUUUUAUUGCACAUGCGGAAGAGAAAAUAAAUCCCUUGAUAAUAAUCAUCUCGGGAUAGAAAAGCAGGACAUCAAUUCACAAAAGCACACUUUUAUAAAUAACGAGAUUCAAGUACAAAAUGAAUUUAGUCGAAAGCCUACAAAAAGGUCGACUCUCAAAAGAGGCUAUCCUACAACCUACUGAUAGGAUGCAUCCACCGAUCCUCCGUACUCCUCCUCCUCAAACUUUGGGGCCUUGGUCCUCCAUGACCAUCUUCUAAGGACCUGAAAAUGGUUAUUUAAUAACCAAUGAGACAAUAUCUCAGCAAAUCCACGCUCUAAACCCCGAUUAGGAGGGUAAUAGGCCCAAAGGCGUCCUAACCACUCAAUCACACAUUUAGUAUAGAGGACUUACCUCGCCUCAGUCCCACCCUGUAGAUCAAUACAAUUUAUAUCACAAACAGCCAUACAGAUAUGAGCAACAAUUAAGCCCCAAUAAUAGGAACGACACACUCAAUCAAUCAUGCGUUCCUAGCUUUACUCUCGACAUAUAGUACGGCCUACUUUUUAUUCAAUGGUCCUCUGACAUUGUGAGACAUCGUCUCACACUAUUGUGCACGGUAUCGUCACUAUAUUGACGGCAUUCCAUAAAGGAGCAUCAGUCUAGAGUCUAUUGCGAUCGGCAUCCAUUGGACCAACAUGAUUGGAUUGAUUUUGAGAUGCCCUUAUUAGAUUUUUUUUUUUUUUUUUAAGUUGUGGCCACAUAAAACAAAAUUUUCAGUUAUUAACCCAAUAGUGUCAUUUUCAAUAUAUACAAUCUUUUUAUAAAUAAAAUAAGUUAAUUAAUGUAGCCUAAGUGGGAGAAUAUUGGAAAUAUUCUAUAAUAUGGGCUUACAUUAAUUAAUUAAUUUUUUAUUUUAAAUAAUCGGGUAAAUCGACAUUACAAUAUUUGUUAAACCCUAUAGUGAUCUUAUUGAAGUGGGUAUUGGCAUCUAUUAAUAACGGGCCUAGUUGAGCAGCAAAGCAUAGGCAAUUGUGUUUAACUGAAGCCCAUAAUGGGAAUGGACCAAUUUGAUUAUGGUUUACUAAGUCCCCUCUCUAGCCUAUAAAAGAUUAUAUUAUACUUAUCAGUUGUUUUAAUCCCAUUGAAAACUGCUACAUCAAAAUAAAUCUGGAAGAUCUGGCAUUCCGAUAGAUCUCUGACAGGUACGUUCUAUUUUGUUGUGCUUAUUGAUUUCUAUGUUUUACAGUCGGAUCCGAUUCUUCUUGAUUGAUUAGUUGUUUACGUGCAUAGUUUUCUACAUGAGUCUCUCCCAACUAAAUCUUUAUUUGAAGAGGAUCGCACUUCGAUUUUUUUACCCCGCGUCUUACGGUGGAAUCUAUGUACUUUUCGCAUGGACCAUCGGAAGGAACGAAAGGCGGUGCCAUUUUCAAUUGUGAUAAAUCCGAGUAAGUAGACGCGCGUCAGCAAGUGUUUCUUGACCUCUUGGGGCUGUUCGACUAGCUUUUUCCUACGGGUUCAGUCAACGCUCCGUGCACAUGUGCACCUCCUCUCUCUCUCUCUCUCUCUCAAAUGAUUCCCAAAUGAUUUUCUUGGAAACCACACUAUCAGUCCACGACGCAUCUUCAAUAACUCUAGUGCUUGUAGCUGUGAAUAGUCUAUGUCGCACCCCCUACUCUUGCCCACAUUUGUCAACAAAGUCAAAAUGCAGAGGUGUGUUGGGAGACGAAUUGACUCCGCAGUGCGUAUUUGCAUGCAACUUUUUAAAUCCACCGGCUGUUCUCUGAUAGCAAUAGUCGAGACGAUCCGCCUUACUUUUCUUUCCUUCACUGUUGAGUUGAGCCGUGUGCCUUGUAAAAAGUGUUGAAAAGAAACCUUUCUUUUUCGGCCAAUCUAAUUCUUGGGCUUGCAGGUCUCCCAAGAGGCUCCGCAGUUGGCCUACUCUCUCUCUCUCCCCUCCACUUCCCCCACCAAAAGGUAAGAAAGGAUGAAAACCAUAUAGGGUGACAACUUGGCUUAUUGUCAUUAUGAUAAUAGAAGAGCUAAUUGUAAUCAAUUUUAAAAAGAUGCUUUUGCACGAUCUGGUUGAUUUACUUAUUGUAAUUGCCACCCAAGCAGGCCUAUAUAUACACGUACUUACUUACCGACAGAAUCCCAAGCUUUCAUAACCUUUGCGACUUUUCUGAAGAACAGAGGAGCAAGUGAGGGCUUGAGCUGAGCUUCUUGAGAGCAUCAAUGGCCGUUCACGUUCUGCUGCUUCUUGUGGCCUUCACGCUGCUCAGUGCAUGCACUGCUUUAUUGAAGUGGAAUGAGGUGAAGUACCGGAGGAAGAAGGGGUUGCCUCCGGGCACGAUGGGUUGGCCCUUGUUUGGCGAGACCACAGAGUUCCUGAAACAGGGCCCAAACUUCAUGAAAAACCAGAGAGCAAGGUCACUUCACCCACUUUCUCCGCAUUGCUGCAUUUCAUUUUUGUAGAAAGAAGAUUUAUUCUUGUGAUUUCUCUGACUACAUUUUUGUAUGUGGAAUGUGCUUCAUCCUUUCCUGUUUUUUUUUUCUUGAGGGUGUGGCUCUUGUCACUUCAAUAGCUGCAGACUUCGCAAUUUUUCUAUGAAUGUUUCCUGCUUUUUUUCCCUUUUUUGGGGUUCGGUAUGGGAUGUCUACUAGGCCGAUAACCGCUGGUCCACCUCUCCGGGCUAAGUCUAAAGGCAAACUAUACGAACUCGGCCUCUGUUGCCUGCGCAGGGCUCGAACCUGGGUAUAGCUACCAAACGGCCCUCCUGAGUUCUCUGUAAAAUGUAACUGUGAAGAAGAGAAGAUUUUCUGAUGUCUGAAACAGUUCAUUUUUCUCUUCUUUUUUCAGUGACCCUACUAAAAAUUUGGUCCGAGGUGCUUGAUCUUUUUUACACUGUUGUUGACAGGUAUGGGAGUUUGUACAAGUCCCACAUUCUCGGGUGCCCGACAGUUGUGUCCAUGGACCCAGAGCUCAACAGGUUCAUCCUCAUGAACGAAGCGAAAGGCCUGGUGCCCGGUUACCCGCAGUCCAUGCUCGACAUAUUGGGCAAGAGCAACAUCGCCGCCGUCCACGGGUCCGCCCACCGGCACAUGAGAGGGGCAUUGCUCGCCCUGGUCAGCCCCGCCAUGAUCAGGGACCAUCUCUUGCCCAAGAUAGAUGAGUUCAUGAGAUCCCACCUCAGCAACUGGGCUGAUCAUCACACCAUCGACAUUCAGGAGAAGACCAAACAGGUAUAGAGCAUCAUAUACGAUACUGUUGAUUCAUCUAGUUUUUUACGCUUAUAGUGUACAGUCAGUGAUCUUGUUCCAUCUUCCUUUCUUCAAUUCAGAUGGCAUUUCUAUCAUCUCUAAAGCAAAUUGCUGGUAUCGAAUCGGGCGCAAAAGUUAAGGCAUUCACGGAUGAAUUUUUCAAGUUGGUCCUAGGAACUCUGUCCCUGCCCAUUGAUUUUCCCGGCACAAAUUAUCGCCGCGGGUUUCAGGCAAGCCCCCCUAUUUAGGUCCAUUUUGAUAGAAAGGAAGAGUUCAAACAGAAUUUUCCCGAUGUCAAUCGACUUGAACUUUCGUUUUUUUUUCCUGCAUUUUUUAGGCAAGGAAGAAUAUUGUCAGCUUGUUGAGGCAACUAAUGGAGGAGAGAAGGGCUUCGCGAGAAACCCACCAAGACAUGCUUGGCUUUUUGAUGAGAGAAGAUGAAAAUAGAUAUAAGUUGACGGAUGAAGAGAUAAUAGACCAGACAAUUGCCGUUUUGUACUCUGGGUAUGAAACUGUCUCAACAACAACCAUGAUGACCAUCAAGUACCUGCAUGAUCACCCGAGGGUGCUUCAAGAACUGAGGGUCAGUCUUCCUUUUCGGUGCUUGCUUCCGAAUACGCUUGUUCAUUUCUUUUCAGUUGCUUGAAAAUCUGACUCGGCUUCAAAAUCCGGCAGAGAGAACAUUUGGCGAUCAGAGGGUCCAAAGAGCCUGAAGAUCCAAUUGACUGGAACGAUGUCAAAUCAAUGCCGUUCACACGUGCAGUAAGACGCAAUGCAACAUAAUCUCGUCUAGGAAACAAUCAUUAUGUGAUACAAAUGAAAACAGGAGUCUUGACUAACUGUGCAUGCUCUGCUUUUUUCUUAUGCAGGUGAUCCUUGAAACGUCCAGAUUGGCCACUGUUGUAAAUGGGGUGUUGAGGAAAACAACUCGGGAUGUGGAACUCAGUGGUAAAAUUUCAUCUAAUUCCCAGAGUGCCCAAAAUUUUUAUUUAAGAUAGUUUCAGCAUGAACAUUUCUUUAAAAGAUCAACUUCAUAUGAACCUGUGAUGAUGCGACCGUUUAAUAUAUGUUUUGAGAUUCAUUUGACUAAACAAAGAACUUGGGAACUAUUAAAAAAACAACAGGUGCACAGCUGCUGAGGAUGCGCUUUGAGUGUUAUAACAACAACAGAAGCAAAUGAUGAUUGGAAGUUGUUGCUGUCUCUCUCUAUGCAGGUUUUACAAUUCCAAAGGGAUGGAGAAUAUAUGUUUACACGAGGGAGAUAAACUACGACCCUCAUUUGUAUGAAGAGCCCCUCGCUUUCAAUCCAUGGAGAUGGAUGGUUCGUGUUGAUCGGAUCAGAGCCCCUGGUUCAACAUCUCUUGCUUUUAUUCGCAUGAAGAUUGUUGACCCUGAUAUUUUCAAUUCUUUAACUCAGGACCGAAGCAUGGAAUCUCAAAACUACUUCUUACUAUUUGGCGGAGGCACAAGGCACUGUCCCGGAAAGGAACUUGGGAUUGCCGAGAUUUCUACAUUUCUUCACUACUUUGUAACUAGAUACAGGUAAACGAUACACCGUCAAUGCAUUUAGUAGCGACGCUAGAGAUGAUUGACUUGGCUGACAUGUGAAUGAAUGAAACUUAAUUCAUUUCCUGUGCAGAUGGGAAGAAGUUGGAGGAGAGAAACUGAUGAAAUUCCCGAGAGUUCAAGCGCCAAAUGGAUUGCACAUUAGAGUCAGAUCUUACUCAGCUUUUUCCUAAGAGGGUCGAUAUGUAAAAAGGAACACAUUCGUGAAUAACUGGAUCUCUAGUUAGCAUAUACCGGAUAUGAAUUGACCGGUGAUCAACCGACCAUUGCCUGCUUAUUGUGUGACCUUGAUUUGCACUUUAAUGAUAGUUUCGUAUAAGUUAGGAACACGUGCAAUUGUGCACGUGAGAUUCACGUGAGAUGGGUGAUGCUAUGAGCGAAUUAGGAAUCUGGAAAUGACGCAAUCGCGCAUGUUAGACUUGUCCCUGUAGUUCAGUUUUGGGAGAAAAGCACAUGGAGAGGUUAAUUUCUUGAAGAAAGAAAGUUUGGGCUUGAUUUUUUGUCCGCUGCCGCCCCUAGAAAGCCGGUAAAGAAAAACCGAAUAGACUCUGAAUCCACAAGCAGACCGGCUAUAUUUAUUCAGGCCGAGACAUUCAUGCAAGCACAAAUCCACAAAACUUCUUUCUCUUGCAUCGUUCAUCUAGUUGAGCAUACAUCAUGCCCGACAAAACCUUUCGAUUUUCCAAGAAAAUGGAAUGGUUUACCUUGAAACAUACCUGGUCCAAGGUUGGAUUUUCCUGUCGUGUUUACCCCAGCAAGAUACGGGUACUGCGCCUCCGUGUGAACGGGCAAGAGGAAAAACCGUAGUGCUGGAAUUUUCUGCAAGGGCCUCGUUCCCGCUAAACCGGCCCCGACUUGUGUUCUCAGAUUGAAUCCACCAUAUACACCUCCAUAAUUAGACUAUAUACACCUCCAUAAUUAGACUAGCUCGGCUUGUAACAAAUCGACGCUUUUUCAAAAGCUAACGCAAUACAACUAGUCACCGCAACCAGUCAAUGAGUACUUAAACAAGAAAGGCAAUCAGACAAGCCCAUUUUAUUGUAGUUAAAUCAUUUGCAGAAUCUUCGACUACCUCUUCAUUAUCAACGGAUAGUAAUUGUAGCUUGAUGAUGUCCCAAGGAAACAUUUCAAGAUAUAAAGCCAAUCCUUCCCAGCUUCCAUCAAGUUCCUAACCUACUGUUGAAACAUUGGGCAUCGUCAUCUCAGAAAUUUCAGGACCUGGCCCUCAAGGAUAGGCCUACAGAAGAAAGGGAAUACAAAAAGAAAAGAGGCAAGUACUUGAUGGAAGCCGAAACAGAGGCCAAGCAAACAAUUUCAUAUGCACAUUCUUAAGUGUGAAAAGGCUUCACUUGGCCAAGGAGCAUGGUUUAAAUUACACAACCAUGGAGCUCAGGUAAUAAAUCAACUGAAAGUUCUAGACUCUAUGUCACAUUACAAGAAUAAAUGACAAUAUAGGCCACAAAGAAGGGCAUUCCUCCAUUGGAGCCAGCCUAGCAAAACCCGAGAUCAAAAUUUAGGACGACUGCAAAUUGAAUAAAAUUUAAGCCCAAGUUAGACACUCUAUUUAGUCAAUAUCAUGAAACUAAGGUGGGAUCUUCAGUCUUUUGACGCUUAGCUUCACCUUGAGCCUCUUCAUCAUCAUCGUCGUCAUCAUGCUUGAGAGAUCCAUUUACCGCCUCCGGACCCAAAAGAGAAAUGUGCUUGCUGGUGAUUUGACGACCUGCUCUCAGCUUUG